CGAUUAGGAUGAAAAAGUGACCUGAGAAAAAGAAAAUGAAGGCGGUGGUACGAGGUAUGGUUUCGUUACCGUCAAGGUUGUCGAGUCGAGAGGUGAAACGAUAAGUAUAAGAGAGUUAUAAGUUGAAGUAAGAAACGUUACCGCGUUUUUCGGAAUUUCAGUUUUGUUUUAUAUCGAUCGAUAUGAAUUGCAUGUUUGCCAUGUGCGAAUUGUUGAAGCGGUUAUCUUUGUUUUGCUUCACUCUGUCACCACCAUUACUUUAAUUACCUUUCCCUUUUCAAGCUUUAUUUCAACGCUUUAAAGCAAAAGCUCU
Molecule: long non-coding RNA, 313 nt
Filed under: Trifolium pratense (red clover)
Lineage: Eukaryota; Viridiplantae; Streptophyta; Magnoliopsida; Fabales; Fabaceae
Description: long non-coding RNA (TPRA_LNC011274)
Source: RNAcentral